Molecule: ribosomal RNA, 481 nt
Filed under: uncultured bacterium
Lineage: Bacteria
Description: partial 16S ribosomal RNA
Rfam family: Bacterial small subunit ribosomal RNA
Source: RNAcentral
AUUGAACGUUGGCGGCAUGAUUUACACAUGCAAGUCGAACGGUAACAGGCCGCAAGGUGCUGACGAGUGGCGAACGGGUGAGUAAUGCAUCGGAACGUGCCCAGUCGUGGGGGAUAACUACUCGAAAGAGUAGCUAAUACCGCAUACGAUCUAUGGAUGAAAGCGGGGGACCGUAAGGCCUCGCGCGAUUGGAGCGGCCGAUGUCAGAUUAGGUAGUUGGUGGGGUAAAGGCUCACCAAGCCAACGAUCUGUAGCUGGUCUGAGAGGACGACCAGCCACACUGGGACUGAGACACGGCCCAGACUCCUACGGGAGGCAGCAGGGGGGAAUUUUGGACAAUGGGCGCAAGCCUGAUCCAGCAAUGCCGCGUGCAGGAAGAAGGCCUUCGGGUUGUAAACUGCUUUUGUACGGAACGAAACGGCUCUGGUUAAUACCCGGGGCUAAUGACGGUACCGUAAGAAUAAGCACCGGCUAACUACGU